RNAcentral lists this ribosomal RNA (781 nucleotides) under Bacillus cereus. RNAcentral describes it as "bacterial SSU rRNA". It matches the Rfam family "Bacterial small subunit ribosomal RNA", at positions 53 to 812 of the family's 1533-position model. The record is from RNAcentral. Lineage: Bacteria; Bacillati; Bacillota; Bacilli; Caryophanales; Bacillaceae.
ACAUGCAAGUCGAGCGAAUGGAUUAAGAGCUUGCUCUUAUGAAGUUAGCGGCGGACGGGUGAGUAACACGUGGGUAACCUGCCCAUAAGACUGGGAUAACUCCGGGAAACCGGGGCUAAUACCGGAUAACAUUUUGAACCGCAUGGUUCGAAAUUGAAAGGCGGCUUCGGCUGUCACUUAUGGAUGGACCCGCGUCGCAUUAGCUAGUUGGUGAGGUAACGGCUCACCAAGGCAACGAUGCGUAGCCGACCUGAGAGGGUGAUCGGCCACACUGGGACUGAGACACGGCCCAGACUCCUACGGGAGGCAGCAGUAGGGAAUCUUCCGCAAUGGACGAAAGUCUGACGGAGCAACGCCGCGUGAGUGAUGAAGGCUUUCGGGUCGUAAAACUCUGUUGUUAGGGAAGAACAAGUGCUAGUUGAAUAAGCUGGCACCUUGACGGUACCUAACCAGAAAGCCACGGCUAACUACGUGCCAGCAGCCGCGGUAAUACGUAGGUGGCAAGCGUUAUCCGGAAUUAUUGGGCGUAAAGCGCGCGCAGGUGGUUUCUUAAGUCUGAUGUGAAAGCCCACGGCUCAACCGUGGAGGGUCAUUGGAAACUGGGAGACUUGAGUGCAGAAGAGGAAAGUGGAAUUCCAUGUGUAGCGGUGAAAUGCGUAGAGAUAUGGAGGAACACCAGUGGCGAAAGGCGACUUUCUGGUCUGUAACUGACACUGAGGCGCGAAAGCGUGGGGGAGCAAACAGGAUUAGAUACCCUGGUAGUCCACGCCGUAAACGAUGA